Molecule: non-coding RNA, 21 nt
Filed under: Arabidopsis thaliana (thale cress)
Lineage: Eukaryota; Viridiplantae; Streptophyta; Magnoliopsida; Brassicales; Brassicaceae
Source: RNAcentral
UAAGGUGUUUACUAGUGAGUU